RNAcentral lists this ribosomal RNA (164 nucleotides) under uncultured bacterium. Its description in RNAcentral is "partial 16S rRNA". It matches the Rfam family "Bacterial small subunit ribosomal RNA", at positions 355 to 511 of the family's 1533-position model. The record is from RNAcentral.
UAGGGAAUCUUCGGCAAUGGGCGCAAGCCUGAUGGAGCAACGCCGCGUGAGUGAAGAAGGUCUUCGGAUCGUAAAACUCUGUUGUUAGAGAAGAACAUGCAGGAGAGUAACUGUUCUUGUAUUGACGGUAUCUAACCAGAAAGCCACGGCUAACUACGUGCCAG